This 147-nucleotide small nuclear RNA is filed under the name Nomascus leucogenys (northern white-cheeked gibbon). RNAcentral describes it as "U1 spliceosomal RNA (ENSNLEG00000028660.1)". It matches the Rfam family "U1 spliceosomal RNA". From Rfam's summary of the family: U1 is a small nuclear RNA (snRNA) component of the spliceosome (involved in pre-mRNA splicing). Its 5' end forms complementary base pairs with the 5' splice junction, thus defining the 5' donor site of an intron. Lineage: Eukaryota; Metazoa; Chordata; Mammalia; Primates; Hylobatidae. The record is from RNAcentral.
CCACUUACCUGGCAGGGGAGAGACUGUGGUCACGAAGGGGGUUCUCCCAGAGUGAAGCUUCUUCAUGGCACUCUAGAGUUGCUGAUCCCUGUGAUUUCCUGCAUGUGGGAAACGGUGUUUGUGCUGGAAGAGGGCUGCGCUCCUUAC